Molecule: ribosomal RNA, 200 nt
Filed under: uncultured bacterium
Lineage: Bacteria
Description: partial 16S ribosomal RNA
Rfam family: Bacterial small subunit ribosomal RNA
Source: RNAcentral
AUUGAACGCUGGCGGCAGGCCUAACACAUGCAAGUCGAGCGGGGUUUUCCGGACCUAGCGGCGGACGGGUGAGUAAUGCGUAGGAAGCUGCCCGAUAGAGGGGGAUACCAGUUGGAAACGACUGUUAAUACCGCAUAAUGUCUACGGACCAAAGUGUGGGACCUUCGGGCCACAUGCCAUCGGAUGCGCCUACGUGGGAU